AGUGAACGCUGGCGGUAGGCCUAACACAUGCAAGUCGAACGACAGCACAGGAGAGCUUGCUCUCUGGGUGGCGAGUGGCGGACGGGUGAGGAAUACAUCGGAAUCUACUCCGUCGUGGGGGAUAGCGUAGGGAAACUUACGCUAAUACCGCAUACGACCUACGGGUGAAAGCAGGGGACCUUCGGGCCUUGCGCGAUUGAAUGAGCCGAUGUCGGAUUAGCUAGUUGGCGGGGUAAAGGCCCACCAAGGCGACGAUCCGUAGCUGGUCUGAGAGGAUGAUCAGCCACACUGGAACUGAGACACGGUCCAGACUCCUACGGGAGGCAGCAGUGGGGAAUAUUGGACAAUGGGCGCAAGCCUGAUCCAGCCAUACCGCGUGGGUGAAGAAGGCCUUCGGGUUGUAAAGCCCUUUUGUUGGGAAAGAAAUCCAGCUGGCUAAUACCCGGUUGGGAUGACGGUACCCAAAGAAUAAGCACCGGCUAACUUCGUGCCAGCCGCCGCCGUAA
Molecule: ribosomal RNA, 506 nt
Filed under: uncultured bacterium
Lineage: Bacteria
Description: partial 16S ribosomal RNA
Rfam family: Bacterial small subunit ribosomal RNA
Source: RNAcentral